Molecule: long non-coding RNA, 522 nt
Filed under: Glycine max (soybean)
Lineage: Eukaryota; Viridiplantae; Streptophyta; Magnoliopsida; Fabales; Fabaceae
Description: long non-coding RNA (GMAX_LNC001903)
Source: RNAcentral
UUAAAACGGCAGUUGAACGAGUGCUGAUUGGAGUGAGGUGGGCCGGUGAGAAUUGAUGGCCUUAUAGCCCAACCCAACUGUCACUGAUUUCUCCAAUUUUUGGAUCCAACCUUUCAAUGUCGAGUCACGAGUGAUUGGAUAAGUUUUAUUUGUGAUGAAUUUAUAUAAAAAAAUAUAUGUACAAAAUAUAAAAAAAAUUAAAUAUUUUAUAUUUAAACUAAAAAUAAUUGUGUCUUUAAAUAUAUUUUUUAAUCAGAAAAAUAAUAUAUUUUUGCUCCUUUUUUUUUGUACAUGCCAGAGGUUUAACGCUGCUAUAGAACUUCACCGAACCAAUUCCUCAAAAUUCAAUGUGAGUAUGAUACUGGUAGCGUAAAAAGAAAAAUAAUACUAGCAUAGCACACAUAAAAUAACGGAUAUUUCAUAUGUGCAGUCUUAUUCAAAACAACAAAUUAAUAAUGACUAGCAAUUUUUCUUCUUUUUUUUUUCCUGAGAAGAAAUGAAUACACGCCACCUCCAGUGAUG